GUGAUUUCCCGUUAUUUCCCGCGGGUUACACUCCGGGCCGAGCGCAGGAUCGGGAAUUUCAGAUUUUAGGGUGAGCGGAAGUCGUUUUGGUUUUCAGUCCAAUUUUGCAAAACUUUUUUUUAUAAGAGAAACCCAAAAUGUUUUACGACGAGAAAAAUACGCGGAUAAUUACUUCCGAUUAUUUGCAAUAAUUCCAAAAAUAAUAAUAAUCAGGGAGAAAAAGUUUGGUGUAAUUUUGGGAAGUGAUUUAUUAAUGAAGAAGUUUCCGUGGAAUCGUCCCGUUUUGUUACAUUGUUUCUCGGGGGCUCCGCGGAUCCGCGCUCAGCACAAUCUCGAUGAUGUCAGGUGUUUAUACGAUGAUAUUAAGUGUUUGUGUGACGUCCGCGUCACUCCAGCUGUUUUGUGUUAAAUUGUGUUGAUGAAAUGUGAAUUUUCCCCGCAGAAUCACAAUAAAGCGGUGCGUU
Long non-coding RNA from Spea bombifrons (plains spadefoot toad), 464 nucleotides. RefSeq lists it as uncharacterized. NCBI's taxonomy places the organism in Eukaryota, Metazoa, Chordata, Amphibia, Anura, Pelobatidae. The transcript has 2 exons. The record is from RefSeq and is a predicted model, not a curated record.